RNAcentral lists this unclassified non-coding RNA (200 nucleotides) under uncultured Ascomycota. Its description in RNAcentral is "sequence contains ITS1". Lineage: Eukaryota; Fungi; Ascomycota. The record is from RNAcentral.
ACGAGUGAGGGUCUUUCUCGGGCCCGACCUCCCAACCCUUUGUUUACCGAACCUCUGUUGCUUCGGCGGACCCGUCUCACGACCGCCGGAGGAUUGCUGAAAAGGCGUCCUCUGGCCCGCGUCCGCCGGCAGCCCCCCUUGAAAAUUCUGAAUAAAUCGUGUCUUUAUUUCUAAGUCUCAUGAUUCAUAAAUCAAAAGCA